GCGGAGUGCUUCUUUUGUAAGAAGCAGGGGCACUGGAAGAGGAAUUGUCCUCUAUACAUUGCCUCACUGGACCCGAACAGGCCGAAGAAGAAGCAAGGUAUUUGUUGGGUAUAAAAUACCCACAGCCGAAGUCCUCAGCAGAAUCAGCUCCAUUAGACUCCGCCCGAACUCCUAUGGGAACCGGGCUCCGCCUACGACUCCAACCUCAAGGGGGACUUCGCCCGGACUCCUACGGGAGUCGGGCUUCAUCGCCAACGUCAACCGUCGGUAAGCCUUGUCCGGACUC
Molecule: long non-coding RNA, 286 nt
Filed under: Elaeis guineensis (African oil palm)
Lineage: Eukaryota; Viridiplantae; Streptophyta; Magnoliopsida; Arecales; Arecaceae
Description: long non-coding RNA (EGUI_LNC067714)
Source: RNAcentral